GCCCAUUUGCCUUGGCUUGGGGUGGCAGUCCUGUGGGAAUGAGACAUGCCAGACUGGACUUGCCAGCCCCGUUCCAGGGCACAGCAU
Molecule: microRNA precursor, 87 nt
Organism: Gorilla gorilla gorilla (western lowland gorilla)
Lineage: Eukaryota; Metazoa; Chordata; Mammalia; Primates; Hominidae
Source: Ensembl